This 497-nucleotide ribosomal RNA is filed under the name uncultured bacterium. RNAcentral's name for it is "partial 16S ribosomal RNA". It matches the Rfam family "Bacterial small subunit ribosomal RNA", at positions 28 to 507 of the family's 1533-position model. The record is from RNAcentral.
GAUGAACGCUGGCGGCGUGCCUAAUACAUGCAAGUCGAGCGAACAGACGAGGAGCUUGCUCCUCUGACGUUAGCGGCGGACGGGUGAGUAACACGUGGAUAACCUACCUAUAAGACUGGGAUAACUUCGGGAAACCGGAGCUAGUACCGGAUAAUCUAUUGAACCGCAUGGUUCAAUAGUGAAAUACGGUUUUGCUGUCACUUAUAGAUGGAUCCGCGCCGCAUUAGCUAGUUGGUAAGGUAACGGCUUACCAAGGCAACGAUGCGUAGCCGACCUGAGAGGGUGAUCGGCCACACUGGAACUGAGACACGGUCCAGACUCCUACGGGAGGCAGCAGUAGGGAAUCUUCCGCAAUGGGCGAAAGCCUGACGGAGCAACGCCGCGUGAGUGAUGAAGGUCUUCGGAUCGUAAAACUCUGUUAUGAGGGAAGAACAAAUGUGUAAGUAACUAUGCACGUCUUGACGGUACCUAAUCAGAAAGCCACGGCUAACUACGUG